CAGAGCUCAAUCCAUCCACAAAUGACUGGCUCACAGGUCACCUCACCGCGGAAUUUUACGGCGCAGUGGAGCAGCUGCCCGUCCACCCGCCUCUCGACUGCCUCCUUCCCUCACCUCUGAAGAAACGGCGCGGCGCUGCCUGCUAGCUAGCUGGGUGAAGCAAUUAAGCUGGUGGUGGCAUCCAUGGCCAUUCUUUCGCUCAGGCUUGCUGCCAGCGCCGGUUUCGCGGCUCCGCCUUAUCCUAGGAACCGCAGUGGCGGCUUCGCUUUCUCCUCUUCCUCGUGCCGCGCGGUUGCCGCAGCGGCAGGACCCGGGCUGCCGAUCACCGUCGCCGGGGACCCACCCACGGUCGUGUCCGCGCCCGGCCGCCGCAUUGUCGCGAUUGGUGAUGUCCACGGCGAUCUCUACCAAACCAGAGCCGCGCUAAAGAUGGCCGGCGUCCUGAGCGUGGAAUCAGAUGGCCAUGUCUGGACAGGCGGACGGACGGUACUCGUUCAAGUCGGUGAUAUCCUUGACCGCGGCGAGGAUGAAAUUGCUAUACUAUCUCUAUUGAGCUCACUGAAUGUGCAAGCCAAAUCUCACGGGGGUGCUGUAUUUCAGGUUAACGGAAAUCAUGAAACUAUGAAUGUGGAAGGUGAUUUCCGGUACGUAGAUCCUGGAGGCUUUGAUGAGUGCAUACGCUUCCUCGAGUACUUGGAUGAAUGUGAUGGUAACUGGGAUGAUGCCUUUCUCAACUGGGUUAAUGUCGCUGAAAGGAGGAAGAAAGAAUAUGGAGCUUCGCCUAAUGGUGACUGGCGUCCUUGGAACUUUGUCAAGAAGCAGAAAGGAAUUGCCGCAAGAACAUCGCUUUUCAAGAGAGGUGGCCUAUUAGCGUGUGAAUUGGCGCGACAUCCUGUUGUCCUUAAGAUCAAUGACUGGAUAUUUUGUCACGGUGGCCUUCUUCCUCAUCAUGCUGAAUACGGGAUCGAGCGCAUGAACAAAGAAGUAUCAAUGUGGAUGAAAUGUUCAGGUGAAGACAGUGAUGAUGAAACAGAUAUCCCCUUCAUAGCUACUAGAGGUUACGACAGUGUGGUAUGGAGUCGCUUGUACUCGCAAGACCCUGCUGAAAGGACGCGCCGCUCUUUGAUGCUAUCUUCUGUUGUUGCUGAACAAACGCUGAAAACUGUGGGAGCCAAGGGGAUGGUCGUAGGGCACACGCCACAGACCCACGGAGUGAAUUGCAAAUGCGAUGGAAAAGUUUGGUGUGUUGAUGUGGGCAUGUCUUAUGGUGUUCUCUACUCAAGACCGGAGGUCCUAGAAAUAGUCAAUGAUAGACCGAGGGUUUUGAAGAAGCAGAGGGACUCGUAUGAUGAGAUGGAAGUGCUAGACUAUUUAUAAAACAUUGAGAAUCUUAUGUAUAUAAUAGCAAACAUUAUUUGUCCUGAAAGCUACUGUACCAGAUAAUUUGGGAGGAAAUAUAGGAAGGAAUAUGCUAGAGCUAUAAACAUAAACAUCAGAAGGAAGGUCUUCACAUUGUGGUUAACUCUUGUAGAAAACUGCAGAUGUCACACAUGAAAGCCGAAGGUCUGUGGCUUCCUUCACAAAGUCGGAUCAAAUUUUUGGUGGCGCUUCUUUGUAUCAGCAUUCAAAGAUCUCUCAAUCAGAUUGCUCAUAGCCUUCUUCAGAGCUUUCUGUAGGAAUCAGGAACCACACAAAUAGUAGAAUGAGUUGGAGAAUACAUGUACAUGAUCAGGCUUCUCAUGUAACUGUUGUGUUAUAUUAAAAACAAGAACUCGACCACGGGAAGAAGACGUCUCCUUAGCUUUGUCUUAAGAGAGAGAAAUACCAAACCUUUAAGGAUAUGCUCACAUGACCUGCGAGCACUCAGGUUCGAGCCCGGAUGGGCGGCCUCACAACUAGAGGCUCUAUCAACCGAGCUAUUGUCCGGUUUUCUGUCUUCAACAAACUAAUUCUCCUUCUUACCUUCUAAUAGCUGCCUUAAAAAUGCAAGUUUGCAUAGAAUCUGCAAGCAGUGUAACACCAAACCAUGGAAGAAAAAACAAUCGGAGAUGAAUAUAUUGGACCACCAGCA
Phragmites australis (common reed) is the source of this 2071-nucleotide RNA transcript. It is a transcript of the gene named shewanella-like protein phosphatase 1, with no coding region annotated. The transcript is spliced from 11 exons. Lineage: Eukaryota; Viridiplantae; Streptophyta; Magnoliopsida; Poales; Poaceae. The record is from RefSeq and is a predicted model, not a curated record.